RNAcentral lists this long non-coding RNA (492 nucleotides) under Phoenix dactylifera (date palm). Its description in RNAcentral is "long non-coding RNA (PDAC_LNC017904)". Lineage: Eukaryota; Viridiplantae; Streptophyta; Magnoliopsida; Arecales; Arecaceae. The record is from RNAcentral.
AGCCGAGGCUUGUUGUUCUAAGAUGUCGUCCUCAUCAACACCCGGUAAAUGGGGAGUACUAGCUCUUUGGGAUUCAAGAACCCUUUGAAGUGAAACCUCAAUUGAAUCGAGUCGGGCAUUAACCUGGGUGGACAUUGUGGUUAGGUCAUGAAUUUGGGCGUUGUUUGCUUGGACUUGGGCAUUCGUGUUUUGGACUUGAAUAUUAGUUUUUUGAACUUGGGCAUUAGUGUUUUGGACUUGAUCAUUAGUGUCGUGGAUAGCUUUUAAUAGGGCUUCAAUUUUGGAAUCCAUGUCUAGGGGAAACUCAAGAUGAGAUGCGACACGACCACUACGUAGAUGCAUAAAAUGAAUGACAAAAUGUAUUAGCCGACCAACUAUAAAGGUUCCUAAGUAGACCUAAUGCAUGAAAUGAAUUCACAAUUGCAAAGUAGAUGCUCAAUAUAAACUAAAACUACUCCCUAGCAAAUAGUUAUUGCAAACUGAAAAUUAAUA